RNAcentral lists this long non-coding RNA (596 nucleotides) under Oryza brachyantha (malo sina). RNAcentral's name for it is "long non-coding RNA (OBRA_LNC001648)". Lineage: Eukaryota; Viridiplantae; Streptophyta; Magnoliopsida; Poales; Poaceae. The record is from RNAcentral.
CCAUGUGGCACUUGACCAUUCGACAAAACAAAAGAAACCUCAAGCAAUUUCCAUACAACUUGCGCUCAUACGAAAUAAUAGUCAAGCUUAUAUAAUUUGUAUCAACAAAGCACUAGAUUCACUGAAUAAUUUGUAUCAAUAUUAUGUCACACCAUUGCCAACCCAUAUGCCAAGUGCAUAAAACCAAGCUCAGGUACGCAUCACUGUCCUACGGAGGUGUAUGCGGCACGUGAUGAUCGCUAUUGCGAAGAUAUGAUUUUGCAUAUUCACCCUCACCCGCUUCAACGUUCAAACUGAACUAAUGGUUACAGUUAUGAGUUAUGCAUAAGCCAAAGGCUUACUCGCUCUGUUGUGUGGAUUGACAGUGUCAAAGGCAGGGUGGCACGGUGCAAAGAUGGCAUUCCGGAGCAAGCUCGAAGAACAGUUUGUUUUAGUCUUCUCUGAUGGCUCCAAGUCCUACUAUUUGCAGUAUAAGAUAAUUAUUGGCUGGUGGCAUUGCACAAGAUACUUCAAGUUUCACUGGCACAAACUUUUGGAUGGCAUAUAUAUCUCCUCUCUAUCUCUCUCCAGAUUUUGCAUAAUGCAGAGAUUGGCAC